This 343-nucleotide unclassified non-coding RNA is filed under the name soil metagenome. RNAcentral describes it as "partial contains 5.8S ribosomal RNA, internal transcribed spacer 2, and large subunit ribosomal RNA". The stretch from base 1 to 120 matches the Rfam family "5.8S ribosomal RNA", at positions 35 to 154 of the family's 154-position model. The record is from RNAcentral.
GAUGAAGAACGUAGCGAAAUGCGAUAAGUAAUGUGAAUUGCAGAAUUCCGUGAAUCAUCGAGUUUUUGAACGCAUAUUGCGCCCUCUGGUAUUCCGGGGGGCAUGCCUGUUCGAGCGUCAUUAAAUAACCCUCAAGCAUAGCUUGGUGUUGGGCUUUUUUACGUCCUUGACUGGGAUGGGCCUAAAAAUUAGUGGCGAUGGCUUUUUUACUUUCAAGCGUAGUAAAUCUCGUCUUGCUAAAGAGGAAAAAGAUUUUUUUUCUGCCAAAAAUUUUAACAUUUAAAGUUGACCUCGGAUCAGGUAGGAUUACCCGCUGAACUUAAGCAUAUCAAUAAGCGGAGGA